Molecule: long non-coding RNA, 2140 nt
Filed under: Sitophilus oryzae (rice weevil)
Lineage: Eukaryota; Metazoa; Arthropoda; Insecta; Coleoptera; Curculionidae
Description: uncharacterized LOC115885407, transcript variant X3
Source: RNAcentral
AUAUCUCAAGGAGCCCUUUGUGCUCAGUAAUUAUAUAAAUUAAUACUUUCACACAGAUAAAAUAAAAUACUUUUACACACAUGUUUAAUACUAUACACCAUCGUCAUAUUUAAGAGCGUUAUCAAUAAUACACACUCAGCACAUAAAGACCACCUAAAAGAAGAGACAUGGAUCAUCACCCCUUAUACAUAUAAUCCUGAUGAUUGGCCAUCAUUCUGGUUUAUGAGUUGUUCUUCCAUUAUGUGAUUAAAAAUUUUCCACAACAAAUCAAUAGAUGUCUACAGCUCCAGGGCAGUAUUAUUUAUCCUUUUCAUGAAUAUUACCAACAAAUGCAUCAGGACUUUCUGUAUAUCUAAAAUUUUAUUUCCUUCGGGUAAAUAUAUUUCUAAUGGUUUUUAAUAUUUGUCAGUUUGAAAUGAAAUAACUAUAUAAUAAUUAAUAUUGAACUGUCAUUUUUCUGAGAUUUUCCUAAAAGUCUUCUUAUAUGUAUAUAAUUGUGUGUAUAAUUUUUUGUGUCAUUCUUCUGAUACUUUUCUUAGUUCAUCACUCAUUUUCGUGCAUUUAUUUCUAUUGUUUCUUUAUGAGGGGAGUUGUAGUUUUGGAAUCGUUUUCAUGACUUUCAAUUCGUCAUAACUUAACAUGGUAAAAUUAAAUUUUAUUUUUGUUAAGUAUAAUUUAUUAUUUCUCUUUUUCAUUGAUUUCAAGUCUCCUAUUGUAUUUGAAAUAUUUAUUUUACUACUAUUCUACUAAGACUUCUAGGUCUUUCUAUUGUCUACAUAGAAUUGUAUAGUUUUGGAUACAUUUUCUAAUUGAUUUUCUUUUCAAUCAUAUUCUAAUUCUUUUUAAAAUUGAGUUUUUGAUUCGGAUAUAGUACUGCUUUGGAACAAGGAUUUUUUGGGACAGCUGCACUUCAAUUCAACCACCUUCUUCAAGAUGCCUUUAGCUUGAUUAAAUUCAACAUUCAACAGUGGAUUAAGAAUAAAAUUCAUCAUUGAAGAGGAACUAAAUAAUUUUAGAUCAUUGAAUUUUUGGAACUCAUUCUACAAAAGCUGCAGCUGGUACUGGUACUUCUAUUUUUCCUCCAUUGGACACUCCAGAAGACACAUCUCAAGAAGACUUGUAGAAACACCGAAACUGUUUUAAAAUAUUUAUGAAUUUUAUUUUAUGUAAACUGGUCUUUACUUUUUUGGAAAUUGUAAAAGUAAAAUUUUGAAGUGUUGAAUUCUGUAUUUAUACAUAAAAUUUUUAAAUAUUUGAGUUAAAAAAAAUCUUAUAUCAUCAAGAAUAUAUUUUAGUAGAUUCCAGAUGUAUAAAAACACAGAAUUCAAGACAAUCAAAAUUUUAAUUUUAUUCUUAAAUAGUUUCUUGGAAUUUUAAACUUUAUACUGUACAAUCAUAAAGUUUCCUGAUCAAGCAGGCUUUGAGCAUUGAUAAAUAAUCAUUUUCUAUCAGAAAUAGCAUUAAAAAUAAUAUAAAUUUUUAUAUUCCAAGGAAUAUUAUGUUACAUUCAAUAAUUAGAGUACCAUUUAUAAUUAUUUUGGUUAUAGAUAAGAUAUUUAUUAAAUUUAAUGUUUUAGUUAAGUUGUAAUACAACAUAAUAAAAAAAUGGCGUCAGCGAAAGCUAUGAAAUGAAGAUCUCUGUUAUCUUAUAUGGGGUCAUGUAAAAUUAUACGGAGAAUAUCGUCAUGUUCAUUUUCAAGCCAACUGGACGCCGUUUUUUUUCCGAUGACAAAUGUGCAAAAGAAAUGAGCACAAACAUUUUUUUACACAAAAAAAUAUUUUUGUUACAAUCAUAAACAGUCUACAUAGCUCUUUAUGUAAAAAAAUUAGUUUCUUACGUACAAAAUUCCUAGUUUUAUACAAGGUAUUUUUUACGUUUUAUAAAAAGCUUCUUUGAACACGCUGUUAACUGUUAUUAUGAUAUACAAAAGAUACAAUACAAUCGAAAAAAAACAGCGUCGGAGAUAGCUUGGAAAUUAAGAUCGCUGUCAUUUUAUAUGUAAAUUUAUGUUGGGAAUUUCAUCAAGUGUUAUUUCAAAGCCUACCGGAUGCCAUUUUUUUGGUAUAAUUGAUUUAUGUUUAGGCAUUUUAUUGUUGAUAUAUUUUCUAUUUUGUGCAGUAAUCUACAUACCAUAUGAUC